Molecule: long non-coding RNA, 544 nt
Filed under: Elaeis guineensis (African oil palm)
Lineage: Eukaryota; Viridiplantae; Streptophyta; Magnoliopsida; Arecales; Arecaceae
Description: long non-coding RNA (EGUI_LNC067011)
Source: RNAcentral
CCUGUGUCGAGAGCCUUCUUAGAGGCCGGGGAUGUUUGGUAGGAACUUCCUAUCUUUGUUGAGACGAGGUUCCUUAGGUCUUUGGUGUGGUUAGUUUUUUGUCUGUUGCCGAUGUAAUUCGUCGCUUUCCUUUUUAAUUUUCCUCCUCUUUUCGAGUGAGGGUCCCCCCCUCGCUUUUUGGGGGGUCACGCAGAAAUAUAGAGGUGCCAUUGAGGGGACUUUUCUCUUUAUCCAAUUUGAUUGGGCGGCUGAGUUUUUGUCAUCGUCGGGAAGAGGUCCUCCUUCUGUUCUUGAUGUAGUCGAUCUCAGCUCAGGUCAGGGCGAGGUUCUCAUCCUGUUCCCAACAGGGCUGUGGGGGCACAUAAGGGUCAUCGUAAGGGCCUCUCCCCCCAUCCGGUCUAAAAGAACCGGGCCUUCGACUUUGCUCAUGUUAGGGUGAGGUUCUCCUCCUGUCCCUAACAAGGCUAUGGGGGCACAUGUGGGUGCUGUUUGGCCUCCCCCCCCAUCCGGUCUAAGAGGAACCGGACCUUCGACUUUGCUCACG